RNAcentral lists this ribosomal RNA (492 nucleotides) under uncultured bacterium. RNAcentral describes it as "partial 16S ribosomal RNA". It matches the Rfam family "Bacterial small subunit ribosomal RNA", at positions 29 to 507 of the family's 1533-position model. The record is from RNAcentral.
AUUGAACGCUGGCGGCAUGCUUUACACAUGCAAGUCGAACGGUAACAGGCCUUCGGGUGCUGACGAGUGGCGAACGGGUGAGUAAUGCAUCGGAACGUACCCAGAGGUGGGGGAUAACGCAGCGAAAGCUGUGCUAAUACCGCAUGUGAUCUGAGGAUGAAAGCGGGGGACCGAGCAGCAAUGUUUGGCCUCGCGCCUUUGGAGCGGCCGAUGUCGGAUUAGCUAGUUGGUGGGGUAAAGGCCCACCAAGGCGACGAUCCGUAGCUGGUCUGAGAGGACGACCAGCCACACUGGGACUGAGACACGGCCCAGACUCCUACGGGAGGCAGCAGUGGGGAAUUUUGGACAAUGGGCGCAAGCCUGAUCCAGCAAUGCCGCGUGCGGGAAGAAGGCCUUCGGGUUGUAAACCGCUUUUGGCAGGAACGAAACGGUGUCCGCUAAUACCGGGCGCUAAUGACGGUACCUGCAGAAUAAGCACCGGCUAACUACGUG